GACAUCAGUCAACAUGUACCUUUCUCAGAAUGUGACCACCCGUAUCAACUUAUCUGAAAAGCAUAUGUGCAUCAUAUCUGUUGUACAGUUGGGGCAAAGAAAUCCUCAUUUCUAAUUACAAAUGAGGAAAACAUCUGGGAGAGGAAGGAGAGCCCAACUUCAUACAGCUGCAGAUCUUGUGCACACAGAGAUGUCUGAACUCAUCUUUGCAAAUCCGCCCUUCCUUUGCCCUCAGCCUGCUUGAAAUCGUUGUGUACCUACUUCGAUGCC
Non-coding RNA from Pogona vitticeps (central bearded dragon), 270 nucleotides. The record is from RefSeq and is a predicted model, not a curated record. NCBI's taxonomy places the organism in Eukaryota, Metazoa, Chordata, Lepidosauria, Squamata, Agamidae.